UUGAAUGUUACUCCUUUCACUCUGUUUCUGCGUAUUGAAACACGCAUAUACUUCAAGCCACCUUUUAAAAUCGCACGUUCCCCAUGUUUGUGAAACAUUCGCACAACCAACGCGAAAGAAAGCAACAGUUCAGCAUCCUCGAAACUAAGGAAACGAUAUAUAAGAAAUAUAAAGAAACGAAUUAAAAUCCUUCCGAUCACCGUUAAACUAGAUUCAAACUACCUUUAUCAUGACGAUCCACAAUUUGAUUUGAAAUCUAUCCUCUUGGGACAUGCGAUCUUACAGGAAGUCAGCUCAGCGUAUUUCCUCGUUUCAGUUCACCUGUUCUAGUCCAUCUGAGAAAGUUGGCGGCCCUUCGACAUGGUUGUUGACUAUCAUCUUUACCACCUUCUUCGAUCACGUUUCGCGCGCUCCCGAUCCCUCGAUUAAAAAAAAAAAAAAAAAAA
Molecule: long non-coding RNA, 446 nt
Organism: Apis dorsata (giant honeybee)
Lineage: Eukaryota; Metazoa; Arthropoda; Insecta; Hymenoptera; Apidae
Exons: 2
Source: RefSeq, a predicted model, not a curated record